UACGAAGGGGGCUAGCGUUGCUCGGAAUCACUGGGCGUAAAGGGUGCGUAGGCGGGUCUUUUAAGUCAGAGGUGAAAUCCUGGAGCUCAACUCCAGAACUGCCUUCGAUACUGCGGGUCUCGAAUCCGGGAGAGGUGAGUGGAAUUCCUAGUGUAGAGGUGAAAUUCGUAGAUAUUAGGAAGAACACCAGUGGCGAAGGCGGCUCACUGGCCCGGUACUGACGCUGGGGCGCGAAAGCGUGGGGAGCAAACAGG
This 254-nucleotide ribosomal RNA is filed under the name uncultured bacterium. RNAcentral describes it as "partial 16S ribosomal RNA". It matches the Rfam family "Bacterial small subunit ribosomal RNA", at positions 524 to 776 of the family's 1533-position model. The record is from RNAcentral.